CGUGAAAAGCGGCGCUGGAGAUGGAGGAAAAGGAGCGGGACAUGGGCAGCCGCCGGCAGGCAGCAGUAACCCAAAUCCAGUCAAGCCUGACGGACGAUUGCUCGGAUGAGUGCCGUCAAGGAACCACACGAGCUGUGGAUAACCAAAGACAAAAUAUGCAGCAGUAAAAUGCCAAUUCAGAAGGUCCGGCUGGAACUGGCGUUGUCCAUCUCCAUUGUUUGGUUGUCUAUGGCUCUAUGCCAACAACCACCACGCAGAAGUAGGACAAUCCGGCCGGCAGCCACCAACACAAUGUCCAUCCAUCAAAGGCCUGGAUCAAGUGAACUGUAAGCCUGUUCUCGGCGUUCAGUAGCCUAGCCCUGCGCGAGGCUGCUUCCUUGAUUCUGCCGGAGGACAGGCAUCAAGGCGGCAAUCGAUGGGUGCGUUUCCACGGCUGUCUUAGUUGCACCGUGACCAGGGACGCACUCACGCGCACAGCGGGGGAUCCUUAGUCGCCUUCUAGGCGGGGCACUGCUUGGCCCACGGCGCCAUCCGUAACAUGCCUCUACAGCUCAGGCAUCGAUGAAAGCGAGCCCAACCUCAGGGAGAACCUAGUUGAUCUCUCCCACAGCUCCUUGCCGCCAGCGAUGACACAUGGUUCCUGCGUCCAGUGCCAGUAGCCUCAGAAAAGGAGGGAGGGAAGCGGCUGACUUGGUCGUGCUCUACAAAAUCGGCAGGUCCAAAUCGCGUCAAUCAAGAAUUAGGAGUUGCUGCCCCGUUCAACCUCGUAGCCAUGACCCACCAGCACCACCACACGAUUGCCGUUGCCAAUUCAUGGCGGCAGCGGGGGAAAAGCACCGAAGGGCCGAUGGAGGCGGGGCGGCAGCUCCAGAAGAGCAAAGAAGAGAACAUGGCAAAACAAAAUCGCCGGAGAUGCAGUCGAGAGCUCCUUACCUAGCCUGAAGAGGGCGGCACCACUGUUGCCCGGGCGGCAACCUUCAUGACAUGAAGCAGAGGGCGGCACCGCAGUCGACCACCGCCGUCCAAGGAAGGAGAACCUCACUCUGACUACAGCCGGCAGUUGUGGAGGAGCUCAGCUAGAGACAGAUGAAGGCAAGGGAGAGGUCAGCUAGGGUUCAAAGUGAGCGGUGGUUUGGGGGAGGAAGAGGGACACGGGAAAGAAUUUUAGAGAUUUCUCUAGAGAAGAAAGGAAAGAAAUAUCUGGAGGAAUCCAGAUCCUAA
Lolium perenne is the source of this 1221-nucleotide long non-coding RNA. RefSeq lists it as uncharacterized. Lineage: Eukaryota; Viridiplantae; Streptophyta; Magnoliopsida; Poales; Poaceae. The record is from RefSeq and is a predicted model, not a curated record.